Long non-coding RNA from Carassius carassius (crucian carp), 1244 nucleotides. RefSeq lists it as uncharacterized. The transcript is spliced from 3 exons. The record is from RefSeq and is a predicted model, not a curated record. Lineage: Eukaryota; Metazoa; Chordata; Actinopteri; Cypriniformes; Cyprinidae.
ACUAUUUUCCAGUUGAAGGCAUGAUGUGUCCCAUCUGCCAGCGUGCCAGAACCCUUGAGCUCAAGGUGGGCCACAGAGACCCUGUACUGAACCUGCAGGGACCACAGUGUCACGAAGCACAUCCCAUGUGGAGCUCUGUUGCUUUCAGGCCCGGGCGUUCAUUUUUUUCUCCCUCUCCCCCCUUCUCCUCUCCUCCCAUCUCUCCGAAGAGAUUUGGAACAAGGGGGUAUCCCUUCAGCACCUGCUCAGGUUUUCAGUGGAUCGGAGGGGUGCCCAUUUACAUGGUACCAUCCUACUGGCACCAGGAAGACUUCCAUUAUACGGCUCAGCAGGGACAGCGCUUAAGAAUCCGCAAUAGUCGUUCAUUGUGAAGGGCCGUUUCCUACGCUCUACCAGAAGCAUGAGGUGGUCUGCACUAAGACCCCCGAUGUGUCCCAUCCCAGGUGCAAGAAAGGCCACCUGCCAUGAGGGUGCUCCCUAGACCGAGACUGCUUUCAUACAAAGGACAAAAACACACCUUUCUUCUCCAGAGGCCCAACUUUCUGAAGGGAACUCUACCUCCCACAUAUUACCGAGGGGGAAAAAAGCCCUUUCUUUUCACAUAACAUUAUCCAGCUAUCAUUUGAGAAGGGGGCACAGCAAUUUUCAAUCAUCCUGUCCUCCGCCCACACAGAACUCAUUGGCUUUGAUGGCUCCUGCAUAAUUAUGUGAAUUUUAUUAAAAGCUCAGUGUAUUAAUCUCAGCACGACAGUUGGCUAUCAGUAAACUUAACCUUCUCUGAGGUAAUAACAGCCGCAACAAUGAAACAAUAUUUCAAUUAGCCAGGCUGACAUUAACCACCGCAUACCACAAGAAAAAAAAACAAAACAAUGCUGCGGCAUUAAAAGGCCAAACCGUGCUAGGCCACCAUAUUUCUUUCUGAGAACUAUGAGCUGAAGAAAACAUUUCAGUACACAAUGGUGAAGUAGUAAAACAAUUCAUUGGUUUUUGAACAGUGGCAUCAGCCGACAAAUCUCCAUAAUCACUUCUUGCAUGCAAGUAACGGCGCCUGUCUGUUUCGAUCGCUCCUUACACGGCCCCUCAGAGCAGGCAGCACUAAUCCAUCCACUUUAGAUCAACAUGUCACAUUCCACUCUCACCUCUCCGCUCAACUUAAAAAGCUCACUUUACCUUAUAAAACAGUCACAUAGUCUAGAAUAUGAUCGUAAUAUGCCAGUAUUCUAACGGUCAGCUGGGACGGUGGA